RNAcentral lists this transfer RNA (66 nucleotides) under Mimachlamys varia. RNAcentral's name for it is "tRNA-Val". The record is from RNAcentral. Lineage: Eukaryota; Metazoa; Mollusca; Bivalvia; Pectinida; Pectinidae.
ACUGGACUAGUAUAAAUAGUACGGGUGGAUUACGCCCACUAGGUGUCCUGGAAGGGUCGUUCGGUU